UGCCGCGGAGAUGCUGGGUGUAGUAAGAUGAGGCCUUGAAAUAUAAACUCUUGCAUCAGAGCCUUAGUCUGAGGCCUGAAGCCUGAACCAAAGUACUUCCAGG
Chelonoidis abingdonii (Abingdon island giant tortoise) is the source of this 103-nucleotide non-coding RNA. The record is from RefSeq and is a predicted model, not a curated record. NCBI's taxonomy places the organism in Eukaryota, Metazoa, Chordata, Testudines, Testudinidae.